This 450-nucleotide ribosomal RNA is filed under the name uncultured bacterium. RNAcentral's name for it is "bacterial SSU rRNA". It matches the Rfam family "Bacterial small subunit ribosomal RNA", at positions 29 to 524 of the family's 1533-position model. The record is from RNAcentral.
AACGAACGCUGGCGGCAUGCCUAACACAUGCAAGUCGAACGAGACCUUCGGGUCUAGUGGCGCACGGGUGCGUAACGCGUGGGAAUCUGCCCCUUGGUUCGGAAUAACUUCGGGAAACUGAAGCUAAUACCGGAUAAUGACGUAAGUCCAAAGAUUUAUCGCCAAGGGAUGAGCCCGCGUAGGAUUAGCUAGUUGGUGGGGUAAAGGCUCACCAAGGCGACGAUCCUUAGCUGGUCUGAGAGGAUGAUCAGCCACACUGGGACUGAGACACGGCCCAGACUCCUACGGGAGGCAGCAGUGGGGAAUAUUGGACAAUGGGCGAAAGCCUGAUCCAGCAAUGCCGCGUGAGUGAUGAAGGCCUUAGGGUUGUAAAGCUCUUUUACCCGGGAAGAGAAUGACUGUACCGGGAGAAUAAGCCCCGGCUAACUCCGUGCCAGCAGCCGCGGUAAU